AGCGGCGGAUGGGUGAGUAACACGUGGGGAACCUGCCCCUAAGUCUGGGAUACCAUUUGGAAACAGGUGCUAAUACCGGAUAAUAAAGCAGAUCGCAUGAUCAGCUUUUGAAAGGCGGCGUAAGCUGUCGCUAAGGGAUGGCCCCGCGGUGCAUUAGCUAGUUGGUAAGGUAACGGCUUACCAAGGCGACGAUGCAUAGCCGAGUUGAGAGACUGAUCGGCCACAUUGGGACUGAGACACGGCCCAAACUCCUACGGGAGGCAGCAGUAGGGAAUCUUCCACAAUGGACGCAGGUCUGAUGGAGCAACGCCGCGUGAGUGAAGAAGGUUUUCGGAUCGUAAAGCUCUGUUGUUGGUGAAGAAGGAUAGAGGUAGUAACUGGCCUUUAUUUGACGGUAAUCAACCAGAAAGUCACGGCUAACUACGUGCCAGCAGCCGCGGUAAUACGUAGGUGGCAAGCGUUGUCCGGAUUUAUUGGGCGUAAAGCGAGCGCAGGCGGAAAAAUAAGUCUAAUGUGAAAGCCCUCGGCUUAACCGAGGAACUGCAUCGGAAACUGUUUUUCUUGAGUGCAGAAGAGGAGAGUGGAACUCCAUGUGUAGCGGUGGAAUGCGUAGAUAUAUGGAAGAACACCAGUGGCGAAAGGCGGCUCUCUGGUCUGCAACUGACGCUGAGGCUCGAAAGCAUGGGUAGCGAACAGGAUUAGAUACCCUGGUAGUCCAUGCCGUAAACGAUGAGUGCUAAGUGU
Molecule: ribosomal RNA, 744 nt
Filed under: uncultured bacterium
Lineage: Bacteria
Description: bacterial SSU rRNA
Rfam family: Bacterial small subunit ribosomal RNA
Source: RNAcentral